This 253-nucleotide ribosomal RNA is filed under the name uncultured bacterium. Its description in RNAcentral is "partial 16S ribosomal RNA". It matches the Rfam family "Bacterial small subunit ribosomal RNA", at positions 524 to 776 of the family's 1533-position model. The record is from RNAcentral.
UACGGAGGGUGCAAACGUUGCUCGGAAUUAUUGGGCGUAAAGCGCACGUAGGCGGCCAAUUAAGUCGGGUGUGAAAGCCCAGGGCUCAACCCUGGAAGUGCACUCGAAACUGAUUGGCUUGAAUAUGGAAGAGGGUCGCGGAAUUCCCGGUGUAGAGGUGAAAUUCGUAGAUAUCGGGAGGAACACCAGUGGCGAAGGCGGCGACCUGGGCCAAUAUUGACGCUGAGGUGCGAAAGCGUGGGGAGCAAACAGG